This is a small nuclear RNA of Sorex fumeus (smoky shrew), 161 nucleotides long. RefSeq annotates it as U1 spliceosomal RNA. The record is from RefSeq and is a predicted model, not a curated record. Lineage: Eukaryota; Metazoa; Chordata; Mammalia; Eulipotyphla; Soricidae. The transcript has a single exon.
AUACUUACUGUCAGGGGAAAUACCGUGAUCCUGAAGGUAAUUUUUCCCAGAGUGAGGAUUGUCUAUUGCACUCCCGAUGUGCUGACCCCUGUGAUUUCCCCAAGUUGGUAAACUCGAUAGAAUAGUUUGUGGUAGUGGGGACUGCAUUCAUGCUCUCCUCU